CAACCCUCAAGCCCUGCUUGGUGUUGGGGCCCUACGGCUGCCGUAGGCCCUGAAAGGAAGUGGCGGGGCUCGCUGCAACUCCGAGCGUAGUAGAAUCCUAUCUCGCUAGGGAGGCGCGGCGCGCUCCAGCCGUUAAAGACCCCAUCUUUAACCAA
This 155-nucleotide unclassified non-coding RNA is filed under the name uncultured Lecythophora. Its description in RNAcentral is "partial internal transcribed spacer 2". The record is from RNAcentral. Lineage: Eukaryota; Fungi; Ascomycota; Sordariomycetes; Coniochaetales.